ACCAUUAACUUGUAAUGGUUAAUACUGAGUGUCAACUUGAUUGGAUUGAAGGAUACAAAGUAUGGUUCCUGGGUGUGUCUUUGAGGAUGUUGCCAAAGUAGAAUAACAUUUGAGUCAGUGGACCUGGAAAGGCAUACACACCCUGAAUCUGGGUGGGCAAAAUCUAAUCAGCUGCUAGCGCAGCUUGAAUAUAAAGCAGGCAGAAACAUUUGAAGAAGGAGUUUGGCCUAGCCUCCCAGCCUACAUGUUUCUCUCAUUCUGGAUGCUUCUUGACCUCAAAUUUCAGACUCCAAGUUAUUCAGUUUUGGAAGUCAGACUGGCUCUUCUUGCUCCUCAGUCUGCGGACAGCCUACUGUGGGACUUUGUGAUUGUAUGUUCUGGUUGGGUAGACUGGUCUAUGCUGGUUUUAGCCCCAUAUUUUAUGCUCGAAGUGAUCACAUAUACUUCUGCUUAAGACGAUUUACUAUGCUCUGUUCAAAUUAUUAAUAAUCACCAUCAAUGAGAGAAAACUGAUUUGCACAAGUAAGUUAUAUUUUUUAUUAAAUGCUUUCUUACUACUUGUCAAAUUUUUGAAAACAUUGAAAUUAUUAAUUUUACUCUAAUAGCUGUUUUUGUUCAUUCAGUGACAAAUUUAAUGUUGUAAAUUGCUGUGAUAAUAUCAAAAGGUUUUAAAUUCAGUCUUUUUAAUGUCAGAUAUUUUGAUAUGCAGUACUGAUGAAUGGCAAAUUUUGUAGACUGCACAUGCAUUAUUAGAGCUGUCACUUUAAGUUAACAUAUAUACUAGACAUGACUAAUCAUAUGUAUGAAGACAAAAGAAUAUUUAAGUGUUUACCUCAACAUUUAGUUAGACUGGUCAACUACUAAACUACUGAAAUCAGAUGAAUAGGGGACUAAUUGUAGUAAUCUAAUUAAUCUUACAGAAAUACAAAAAUAAAAAUAGAAUUUUUAGAAAUACUAUAUGCCAACAAAUUAAAUAAAUUGGAAGAAAUAGACCAAUUUUUAGAAAGACAUGAACUACUUAAAUUCACUCAAGAUGUAAGAUGUUUCCUCAACCUGCUCAUUCUGAAAUAAUCAGCAUGUUAUAAUAAGAGUUCAAGUAAAGUGUUAUAGUAUACUUAACACAAAAUUAAUUAAUUUCAACUGAGAGAAUCAGUGUAAGUUUAAUAAAGGCAGAGUUAAGGUAAGUGGCAUAAAUAAAAACAAAUUUUGUUAGAUAGCAAAUUUAUUUCAGAAGGUUCAAGGAGCCACAAAUGAAGGCAUGGUCAUCAGAGCAUAUGUUGCUUGGUUGGUAAACAUUGGGGGCAAUGUGUCUGGAGCCUUGAUGUAUGGAGGGCUCUAGUUAAAGAUUAGAUAUUUAAAAG
This 1361-nucleotide long non-coding RNA is filed under the name Callithrix jacchus (white-tufted-ear marmoset). RNAcentral describes it as "lncRNA (ENSCJAG00000073087.1)". Lineage: Eukaryota; Metazoa; Chordata; Mammalia; Primates; Cebidae. The record is from RNAcentral.